UUUGUAUAGUUUAUUAAUACUGUUUACUGUUUAAUUUUUAAUAAUUAUUAGUUUUAAAAGAGUUUAAAAGUUAGGCUAUUAGGUUUACAAGGGCAAUAAAUAAAAAGAGAUUAUGGGCAUUAAAUGUUAUUUUCUCAUUAUAGCACAAAAAACACAAUUAUACGCGCUUUCAAAUGAUACUAAAACUGACUGAUUAAAUAUAAAUUGGAUGUUCUAAAGUCGAACUCGUUGUUGCCUUGAAGAUUUGAAAUUGUCGACGAUGGAUUUCGAAUGUGUUUUAUAUAAAAACUUCUAAUUUACGUACCAAAGAAUCUUUCCAGAACAUUAAUUAUUUCAUUUAAAAUUUAAAUAGAUAAUAGUUUAAAAUU
Long non-coding RNA from Bombyx mori (domestic silkworm), 368 nucleotides. RefSeq lists it as uncharacterized. The record is from RefSeq and is a predicted model, not a curated record. Lineage: Eukaryota; Metazoa; Arthropoda; Insecta; Lepidoptera; Bombycidae. The transcript is spliced from 2 exons.